CUUCCACAAUGGACGAAAGUCUGAUGCAGCGACGCCGCGUGAGUGAAGAAGGUCUUCGGAUCGUAAAACUCUGUCCUUGGUGCAGAUAAUGACGGUUGCCAAGGAGGAAGCACCGGCUCCCUACGUGCCAGCAGCCGGGGUAAUACGUGGGGGGCUAGCGUUGUCCGGAUUGACUGGGCGUAAAGUGUAAGUAGGCGGUUGCAUAAGUCACAUGUAAAAGGCUAAGGCUGAACCAUAGUAGGCAGUUGAAACUGGGUGACUUGAGUACAGGAGAGGUAAGCGGAAUUCCUAGUGUAGCGGUAAAAUGCGUAGAUAUUAGGAGGAACACCAGUGGCGAAGGCGGCUUACUGGACUGUAACUGACGCUGAGUCACGAAAGCGUGGGUAGCAAACA
This 393-nucleotide ribosomal RNA is filed under the name uncultured bacterium. RNAcentral's name for it is "partial 16S ribosomal RNA". It matches the Rfam family "Bacterial small subunit ribosomal RNA", at positions 363 to 774 of the family's 1533-position model. The record is from RNAcentral.